This 56-nucleotide microRNA precursor is filed under the name Schmidtea mediterranea. RNAcentral describes it as "Sme-Mir-2148_pre stem-loop". Lineage: Eukaryota; Metazoa; Platyhelminthes; Tricladida; Dugesiidae. The record is from RNAcentral.
AGAAAUUCUGUGGUCUUGAUUGUAAAUGAUAUUAUACUGGCCCACAAAAUUUCUUU